RNAcentral lists this ribosomal RNA (468 nucleotides) under uncultured bacterium. RNAcentral describes it as "partial 16S ribosomal RNA". It matches the Rfam family "Bacterial small subunit ribosomal RNA", at positions 28 to 507 of the family's 1533-position model. The record is from RNAcentral.
GACGAACGCUGGCGGCGUGCUUAACACAUGCAAGUCGAACGGAAAGGCCCUGCUUUUGUGGGGUGCUCGAGUGGCGAACGGGUGAGUAACACGUGAGUAACCUGCCCUUGACUUUGGGAUAACUUCAGGAAACUGGGGCUAAUACCGUAUAGGAGCUCCUGCUGCAUGGUGGGGGUUGGAAAGUUUCGGCGGUUGGAGAUGGACUCGCGGCUUAUCAGCUUGUUGGUGGGGUAGUGGCUUACCAAGGCUUUGACGGGUAGCCGGCCUGAGAGGGUGACCGGCCACAUUGGGACUGAGAUACGGCCCAGACUCCUACGGGAGGCAGCAGUGGGGAAUAUUGCACAAUGGGCGGAAGCCUGAUGCAGCAACGCCGCGUGCGGGAUGACGGCCUUCGGGUUGUAAACCGCUUUCGCCUGUGACGAAGCGUGAGUGACGGUAAUGGGUAAAGAAGCACCGGCUAACUACGUG